This 23-nucleotide unclassified non-coding RNA is filed under the name Mus musculus (house mouse). Its description in RNAcentral is "oocyte_clustered_small_RNA13545". Lineage: Eukaryota; Metazoa; Chordata; Mammalia; Rodentia; Muridae. The record is from RNAcentral.
ACCCCCACCCCACCCCCACCGAA